ACGCUCAGGCUGACCAGCGUGGGGAGCAAACGGGAAUAGAUACCCUGGUAGUCCUAACCAUAAACGAGUCAACUGGUUGAGUGUCGACACUCACUCAGCAACGAAGUUACGGCGAUAAGUUGAACACUUGUGGAGUUCGACGGCAAGGCAGAAACUUAAAGGAAUUGUCAGGGACCCGCACUAGCAGUGAAUUAUGUGAUAUAAUACAAUGCUAAAGGAAGUGCCCUACCCACCUUUGACAUGUAAGGAAUCCUUUAGAGAUAGACGAGCGCUCGAAUGGGAGCCGUAACUCAUGUGCUGCAUGGGUGUCGUCAGCUCGAGUCGUGAGAAGGGAGGUUAAGUCGUGCAACGAGCGCAUCCCUUGCCGUUAGUUGCUACGAAAGGGCACUAUGAGCAUCAUGUCGGUGACAAACCGGAAGAGUCUAGGGGUGAGGUCAAGUCCUCAUGACCCUUAAAUUUGGGGACACACGCAUCAUCCAAUGCCUCGGACAGAGGGUUGCCAACCAGCGAGGAGGACAUUGUCCCAUAAGCCCGUCGUAGUCCGGAUCGCAGUGUGCAAGUAGGUGAGUGAAGUCGGAAUCGAUAGAAUUCGCAGAUCAGAAUAUCCCAGCGAAUACGUUCCCCGGUGGUCUUCACGGGGCCGGU
RNAcentral lists this ribosomal RNA (645 nucleotides) under uncultured bacterium. Its description in RNAcentral is "bacterial SSU rRNA". It matches the Rfam family "Bacterial small subunit ribosomal RNA", at positions 743 to 1397 of the family's 1533-position model. The record is from RNAcentral.